This 1218-nucleotide long non-coding RNA is filed under the name Anas platyrhynchos platyrhynchos (common mallard). RNAcentral describes it as "lncRNA (ENSAPLG00000025752.1)". The record is from RNAcentral. Lineage: Eukaryota; Metazoa; Chordata; Aves; Anseriformes; Anatidae.
AUUUAUUUUUCUCCUAUGGAAACUGAUAAAAUGCAUUACAGGAUUAGUGUAUUUUAGAUGGCGAGGGAAGAAAAUAAAGAAAUCUAUUUUUUCUGACUUACAUUAAGUGUGAGCUUACUCAGGUAGGACAUGAGCCAAUGAGAGCUUUUGAUUGGUUUCGUUAUUUAAUAUAAACAAACAGAUAACUGAGGGUUGUACAGCAUAGGUCACAUUUAAAAUAUUUUUAAAUGAAUCUAUUUUAUACUUUUCUUGCUGCACUUAAUUAUCUUGCUGUGAUUCACUGUAAAUGAAUUAAAAUGUUUGGAAGCCUGAUGUAUUACUACAUACCUAACCUAGCAUGACCUUAUAAAAAACAAGUCAUCAAAUGCUGCAGUGAAUUGCAUCUGAGGAACCUGGCAAAUCCUAAAUUAUUGAUGCUUUCUGUCAGAACAUGAGAAAUGCUAUUACUAAUCCUGCUCUCUCCAUUAAUAGAAACCAGGAUCAGAUGAGUAGGAGGGCUGGGCAGAGGCAUAGCUAGAGGCUUUGGUGUCUUCCACUUGUGAAGGGGACAAGACAGGAAGCCAGCAAGCUCGGGGUCUAUCUCCAGAAAAGCUGAAGAAGGUGCUGUUCUUAACAGCCAUUAUCAGGAUGGCUGCCACUCCUGUCUCUUCUCCCAAUAACCAUUCCCAUCUCUAUACAGAGAAGAAGUCAAUGGCAAGACUCCACCUGGCACAGAAGGGCCACAAUUUUCUGGGCUCUAUCCUCUGUGAAACAGGAGCAAAUUUUUCACAUGACUGAUUAAGAAUGAUUGACUGGCAAUUCCUAACUUAAGGUAGUAUUACCCAUUUGUGUUACAACGAGAAGAUAAGGCUGUACCAGAUACUACUCAAGUCCAAGUGCUUGACCUGGUUCCUAUCCCACACACAGGAUGAGAAUUAUUAUAGCGAUGAUAUUCAGAGGUCCCUGACUAACUAAUAUAUAUAUAUCAGGUUGUUAUAGCUCUGUUACUUAACUCUGCUGUGUUAAAAGGAAGUUUCUAGAAGGGAUACCAUUUUAAUAUGAAAUAGACAAGAUAUUUCUAUUUAUAGGCUUUGUGAUAUCUGUGUAAAACUAUACAUCAACAGAAGUGGAGAUUGGCACAAAAGCUAGUAAGCUCCCUUUAUUAUGCCAAGUAAUUAUGGCAAUAUCAAACACGUGUAAAGCAUGAAUUUGUCCAAUUUUCUGUACUUCCUAUUUAUA